Molecule: small nuclear RNA, 324 nt
Filed under: Chinchilla lanigera (long-tailed chinchilla)
Lineage: Eukaryota; Metazoa; Chordata; Mammalia; Rodentia; Chinchillidae
Description: 7SK RNA (ENSCLAG00000022172.1)
Rfam family: 7SK RNA
About the family: 7SK was discovered as an abundant small nuclear RNA in the mid-70s but a possible function has only recently been suggested. Two independent studies have found that 7SK RNA binds the CDK9/cyclin T complex (known as elongation factor P-TEFb).
Source: Rfam by way of RNAcentral
GGACGUGAGGGUGAUCUGGCUGCGACAUCUGUCACCCCAAUGAUCGUCAGGGUUGAUUCAGCUGAUCUGGCUGGCUAGGUGGGUGUUCCCUUCCUCCCUCAACUCUCCAUGUGCAUCUCUCCCGAAGUUGUCCACUUGGUCGAAAAGGACAACCACCCUCGAUACAGGAGGACCAUUCCUCGGUCCAGGGUAUAUGAGUAGCUGCACUCCCUUGCUAGAACCUCCAAACACUCUCUCAGGAGAAACUUCUGAGCAGGAGGCUAAGAUAUUGUUAUUCAAGCAGACUUACAUCAGCAAAAGACUCUGGCUUUAGGUCUUCCAUGC